RNAcentral lists this unclassified non-coding RNA (279 nucleotides) under plant metagenome. RNAcentral's name for it is "partial contains small subunit ribosomal RNA, internal transcribed spacer 1, and 5.8S ribosomal RNA". The record is from RNAcentral.
UUUCCGUAGGUGAACCUGCGGAAGGAUCAUUCAUAAUAAGUGUUUUAUGGCCCUUUUUUAAAUCUAUAUCUACAUUGUGUGCAAUGUCAGUGUUGAUUUUUCUCUCGAGAGGACCAGCUCCAUACAUCAACUAUAUCUCAACUCUUUGUCUGAAAAAUAUUAUGAAUGAAAUAAUUAAUAAUACAACUAUCAACAACGGAUCGCUUGGCUCUCGCACCGAUCAAGAACGCAGCCGGCAGAAAGAACACACGUCCGAACGCACUCCAGGCACAGUCAUCU